Paramisgurnus dabryanus is the source of this 2970-nucleotide RNA transcript. It is a transcript of the gene named chloride channel CLIC-like 1, with no coding region annotated. Lineage: Eukaryota; Metazoa; Chordata; Actinopteri; Cypriniformes; Cobitidae. The record is from RefSeq and is a predicted model, not a curated record.
ACGAGAGGCGAAGAAGAAAAUCGCAUUGCUUUCACUUUCACUGCACUUAUAUUUUUAAACGAAUAUGUUUGGUCGUAGUUAACGAUCGAUUUUCACAAAAGGACAUUUUUAUUGUUUAGCAUGCUAACUUAAUACUGUUUAUGGUGUUAUAGAAUAUGAACACGUUUGCACAGCAAAUUGCGUGUUGGAAGUAAGAUCGAAACGGUUUAGACAGCUGGUGUUUGAUCACUAAAAGUUAUUAAUCAUGAAUGUAUCUAGCUCUUCGUCGACUGUAUUUUGUAGUCUGAUAGUUUUUUGCGUAACGUUACUUUUUGUCAUUGCCUACGCAAAUGGGAAUAACGACGAUGAGUGGAUUGAUCCUUAUGACAUGCUAAAUUAUGACCCAACAGCAAAGCGCAUGAGAAAGCCAACAGAGCCAGCAAGUUACGACAACGUGCCAACCAAGAGAAGAGAGUUCAAUUCAGACUCACGUGACCCAUCACAGUUUCCUGACGUCUCUGAAUGCCUGAAUAAACUUGAGAUGUUGCAGAAAGAGGUUGAUGAACACAAAAAGAAGGGGGGCGUCUCUCAACACCCAACAUGCUAUCCAGUAUUCAAGCGUUUCCUUUCCAAGCUUCUUAAAGAGGCGGCAAGACUUGGCCUUCCCAAUGAUGCACAUACAGUUAUGCAUUAUGACACUGAGGUGAAACUGUCCAAGCAAACGGUGUCGGAGUUCAAUAAGCUUUUGAAAGAAGACAACGACUGGACCACCGGAGCCAUGGAUGACGCCCUCAGUCAAGUUCUGAUGAAAUUUAAACAUCAUAAUCCCGAAAAAUGGAAGUGGCGGUUCGAGGACACUUUUUAUGUGGAGGUGGAUACUGUCUUGAAGAUCUUAUCGUGUGUUCUUGUUGUCACCGCUGUUAUCUGCACUGAAAUGUGGUCUAUGGUGUCCUGGUUCAUCCAGUUUAAGAGAAUGUUUGCCGUCUGCUUUUUCAUUAGCUUGAUCUGGAACUGGUUUCAUCUUUAUAUGCUUGCAUUUGCAGAGCACCAGAAGAACACCGUGAAGGUGGAGAACUUCAAUGAGAAAUGUACUGGGCUGAAACAAAUGGACUGGAAGGACAGUUUGUCAGAGUGGUAUAGACGUACAUGGACACUUCAAGAUGAUCCUUGCAAACAAUACUACGAGGUGCUGCUUGUGAACCCUAUCUUACUUGUACCCCCAACAAAGGCUAUCACAGUCACCAUAACCAACUUCAUCACAGAUCCACUGAAGCACAUCGGUCAGGGCAUCAGCGAGUUCCUCAUAGCUUUGCUGAAAGAUCUGCCAGUCACUCUCCAGAUACCUGUGCUGCUUUUGAUCGGGGCAGCCAUCCUUCUUUUCGUGUACGGAAGUGCUCAUGCGGCUAUACAACAUGCAUUACCUUGGCCCCGGCUUGGUGGACGUCAUGACCCGCCGCCUCCUGCGGUAGCACAUCAGCCAGCUCCUCAAUUAAGAGAGCACGGACACUGGGCAGGUGGAGAUGCACCACUGCCACUACAACUGCCCCAGGAGGGCAACAGGAUCAAUCAAGCAGGAAACCUCGUUAACCAGGGAUUUAGGGGUCGGAAUGCCAAUGCAGAUAUGUAUACCGUUCAGCCAAGAGAAAGGGACGAUCAAAGCAGCAUGGUCCUCCGACAUCGAUUUAAUGCCAGGCCCGGAGAGGCGCAAACUGUUCGGGUCGAGAAUCUGCGCUUUGUAGGUAGCGCCUCUGGUGAGGACAACAUUGAUUUUCAACAGGGAACACAGGAGCCGGGUCCUGAGAUCGAGGGAGUUGGAGAACCUAAAGUGAAGGAAGUCCUAAAAGAGGAAGAAAAGGAGAAUAGCGCGUCUAGUAAAGACAAAGAGCAGAAAGACGCUCAGACUCAGGACAAAAGUGAGAAUGAACCCAUAAGCAAUGAGCCGUCUCAACAAAUAGAUGUAAAGACCUUGGGUGCUGAACAAGGGAAUGAUAAAGGAGCUGCGUGAACUUUCUUUCUAACCUUCAUUGUCAGGCAGGUUGGAACGACAUAAAGCACUUUACGUUCAGUAAAAGGAUGUGGGCUGCUCGAAAUAACAUCAACCUGCAAGUUUUUACUGGGGCAUCAGGAGACACAACGGAAGUCCUCGGAGAGGAAAAAUGUUCAAGCUUUAGGACUCCAGUUCAAGAAACACAGCCAUAAAAUUGUCUCAAUGCUACGUCUUUCAUGCAAUUCUUUAUUUUAAAAUAAAAUAUAUUUUAGUAUUCUCUCUGUCGAUAGUUAGUUUUGAGUGAAGCACUUAAGUUCACUGAACUUUGCUGAAUUAACAUGCAUCCUUGGAGAGAAGGUUUACAACAUCAAGAAAUGGGACAUUUACACCACACCAAUAUUUUAUAUAUGAAUAAUUUUAAAGUCUUGUAUAAGCAAAGGAGUAUAUUCAUGAAAUCUUGUUUUGGUUAAGUUGAUAUUUGUAGUAGGAAAACUGAUGAAUUUUCAGGGGCUUUUCAUGACGUAUAUUGCAUUUCUUUUUUUUUUCUGUAUUACACAAAGUAUGUGCCCCUGUAAUGGUGCUACCUAUAUUUAUAAAGGUAUUGCUUACUCUUAGUUUUCUUAGUCCAUCCAUACAGCUGGCACUUUCUGUUGUCAUUUUUUUUUUACAAAAAAACCCUAAAUUAAAUAAUAUGCUCUCUUUUUAAAGAAGAUAUUAGCAAAGCACAUAUCUAUUGGUGUAAAUUUCUUGGAUCUAUUACCUGGAGACAUGUUUGGCGUGAUAACCAUGUUAUAUUACAAAUAAAUUUCAUUAGGCAUGGGUGUAAACUUUUUGUUCAUUGCAACUAGAAGCUACCUCAUGUUUUCUGCCAUCGAUGUACAAAAAUAUUAUGGUGGAAGGUAUCUAUGUAAAUUAUGUAGUUUUGUUUCAUUAUAUGUACAUUUGAUAUUUGUUUUACAUGGAUAAUAUAAUGAAUAAAUAAACAUGUGAAGGAUUAUGUAUUA